RNAcentral lists this ribosomal RNA (253 nucleotides) under uncultured bacterium. RNAcentral's name for it is "partial 16S ribosomal RNA". It matches the Rfam family "Bacterial small subunit ribosomal RNA", at positions 524 to 776 of the family's 1533-position model. The record is from RNAcentral.
UACAGAGGGGGCAAGCGUUGUUCGGAAUUACUGGGCGUAAAGGGCGCGUAGGCGGCCUUCUAAGUCGAACGUGAAAUCCCCGGGCUCAACCCGGGAACUGCGUCCGAUACUGGUGGGCUUGAAUCCGGGAGAGGGAUGCGGAAUUCCAGGUGUAGCGGUGAAAUGCGUAGAUAUCUGGAGGAACACCGGUGGCGAAGGCGGCAUCCUGGACCGGUAUUGACGCUGAGGCGCGAAAGCCAGGGGAGCAAACGGG